Molecule: non-coding RNA, 31 nt
Filed under: Rattus norvegicus (Norway rat)
Lineage: Eukaryota; Metazoa; Chordata; Mammalia; Rodentia; Muridae
Source: RNAcentral
UUUAAUUCCCUUCCCGGGAUGGUGAGGAUGC